AUACGGGGGAUUCAAGCGUUAUCCGGAUUUAUUGGGUUUAAAGGGUGCGCAGGCGGGAUGUUAAGUCGGCGGUGAAAUUUUGCAGCUCAACUGUAAAAGUGCCUUCGAUUCUGGCUUUCUUGGGUGUGGAUGAAGUAGGCGGAAUUUGUGGUCUAGCGGUGAAAUGCUUAGAUAUCACGAGGAACUCCGAUUGCGCAGGCAGCUUACUAAACCACUACUGACGCUCAUGCACGAAAGCGUGGGGAUCAAACAGGAUUAGAUACCCUGGUAGUCCACGCAGUAAACGAUGAUUACUAGUUGUUUGCGAUACAAUGUAAGCGACUGAGCGAAAGCGUUAAGUAAUCCACCUGGGGAGUACGUUCGCAAGAAUGAAACUCAAAUGAAUUGACGGGG
RNAcentral lists this ribosomal RNA (393 nucleotides) under uncultured bacterium. RNAcentral's name for it is "partial 16S ribosomal RNA". It matches the Rfam family "Bacterial small subunit ribosomal RNA", at positions 523 to 918 of the family's 1533-position model. The record is from RNAcentral.